RNAcentral lists this long non-coding RNA (743 nucleotides) under Betta splendens (Siamese fighting fish). RNAcentral's name for it is "lncRNA (ENSBSLG00000015407.1)". Lineage: Eukaryota; Metazoa; Chordata; Actinopteri; Anabantiformes; Osphronemidae. The record is from RNAcentral.
GUCUGCGUGUGUGUGUGCGCGUGUGUGGAGACGCAGCGAGGCUUUCCCACUUGCAUACACAGCGAAAAGAGCCUCCACCAAAACAAAAGGGAUUAUGGCGUUUCAAGGGUGUUGUGUUUGCUGUGUUUAUUCACAUAGCUCAUGGGGCUGCGCAGGACCCGCAAUGAAUGUCAAUGUCAGGGAGCGACAUGCUGCAACACAAGAUAAAUAUGACGAACAAUGAGCGCAGAUUAAGGCUGAGUACGUCACGCCGCAUCGCGCGCAGAUCCCGGGUCUCACGACAUUAAGGCACCCUGGGAAAGCGUGGACGCCAAGAACACGACGGCGGCCGCGCGGCGCAUUAGCGGCGAUCAUCGCGGCCCGAAGCGGAGCGGAGACGAAUGCAUCAGAGAGCGUCCUUCAGGCCUCAGGACCUCAGCAGCUGUGUCAGCAAGCAUCCAGCCUGCAGAGGGGGUCUUUGAUCAACACACGGAGUCCCUACAAGCUGUUUUGCCGCUGACCCUGACCUCUGACCUUUGCGGAGCUCGAAGAACGCAGAGUGUCCCUACUGGGAUCAAUGGGGAACUACAGGAGUUCGCUUUAGUUCUGCUUGACAGUUUUCAACUGAAGACGGAACAGAACUGAGUGAACGCUUCACAUUCUCUGCUGCUCUGAUGGCAACUGCUACAGCAACUGAACUCUAUGUAUGCUAAUCAACAAAUGGACAUCAGAAUAAUAAAAUAAUAAUAAUGUUGUAUGAUACA